GCAAUAUAUAUUAGAAUUUUUAUAAAUAUGGUCCAAUUAAUCAUAUUUAAAUUUAAAUUUAUUAUAAAUAAAUUUUAAUAGAUAUAGAACUAUUUAAUAUAGUAUAUCUUAUCCUUCUCCUAUUUAUUUAAACUAAAUAGAACCCUAAUAAGAUUUUGAAAGAAUGUCGAUCUGAACUCUAUAUAAUGAGGGUAUUGGUGCUGCCACUUUCUUAUGUGCAUUCUCUUAAUGAGUUUCUAUCGAUUUUACAUUAUACGGGAGAGUGCAUAAGAAAUGAGGAGAAAUCAAAUCAUCAAAGUUUGAUUGGUGACGUCCAAAUUAUAGUCAGACUUUUCGCUUUCGCAGAUUGAUCAAGAAUUUCUUCACUAUGGCAUUCUUUGAGUUUUUUUCUUUUAUUUAUGAUCCUAAAUUUUGGUAUAUAUUUAUUUUUAUUGGCGUUUUAUAUAGUGAUAAAGAUCUAUCAAUAUAAACUAGACAAAAUUGUAUAAAACUUAUCUG
RNAcentral lists this long non-coding RNA (498 nucleotides) under Ananas comosus (pineapple). Its description in RNAcentral is "long non-coding RNA (ACOM_LNC028391)". Lineage: Eukaryota; Viridiplantae; Streptophyta; Magnoliopsida; Poales; Bromeliaceae. The record is from RNAcentral.